RNAcentral lists this ribosomal RNA (254 nucleotides) under uncultured bacterium. RNAcentral's name for it is "partial 16S ribosomal RNA". It matches the Rfam family "Bacterial small subunit ribosomal RNA", at positions 524 to 776 of the family's 1533-position model. The record is from RNAcentral.
UACGUAGGCAGCGAGCGUUAAUCGGAAUUACUGGGCGUAAAGCGUGCGCAGGCGGUUGUGCAAGACCGAUGUGAAAUCCCCGGGCUCAACCUGGGAAUGGCAUUGGUGACUGCACGGCUAGAGUGUGUCAGAGGGGGGGUAGAAUUCCACGUGUAGCAGUGAAAUGCGUAGAUAUCUGGAGGAACACCGGUGGCGAAGGCGGCAUUCUGGACUGCAACUGACACUGAAAGACGAAAGCCAGGGGAGCAAACGGG